Molecule: ribosomal RNA, 313 nt
Filed under: Ehrlichia chaffeensis
Lineage: Bacteria; Pseudomonadati; Pseudomonadota; Alphaproteobacteria; Rickettsiales; Anaplasmataceae
Description: bacterial SSU rRNA
Rfam family: Bacterial small subunit ribosomal RNA
Source: RNAcentral
AAUAAUUGUUAGUGGCAGACGGGUGAGUAAUGCGUAGGAAUCUACCUAGUAGUAUGGAAUAGCCAUUAGAAAUGAUGGGUAAUACUGUAUAAUCCCUGCGGGGGAAAGAUUUAUCGCUAUUAGAUGAGCCUACGUUAGAUUAGCUAGUUGGUAAGGUAAUGGCUUACCAAGGCUAUGAUCUAUAGCUGGUCUGAGAGGACGAUCAGCCACACUGGAACUGAGAUACGGUCCAGACUCCUACGGGAGGCAGCAGUGGGGAAUAUUGGACAAUGGGCGAAAGCCUGAUCCAGCUAUGCCGCGUGAGUGAAGAAGG